Daphnia pulicaria is the source of this 1125-nucleotide long non-coding RNA. RefSeq lists it as uncharacterized. The record is from RefSeq and is a predicted model, not a curated record. The transcript is spliced from 3 exons. NCBI's taxonomy places the organism in Eukaryota, Metazoa, Arthropoda, Branchiopoda, Diplostraca, Daphniidae.
AAAUCAUUCGGGUAAUUUACUGAAUUUCGUAAAAGGGCAACAGCGCUUUCCAGUUGUCACGAAAGUUCGUCUGCAUUCUGCAGUAUGAAAAACAAGGUGGAAAUAUUUUUACCAAAGUGAGGCUGAGGCUACAGGUGUCCCUUAACAACGUGGUUGAAAACUUGAAACAAAGCCACGAUACGUGUAGGAUUUAUUCCGUGACAAAGUAGUCAAAUCAAGAAUGUUUGAAACAGCCCAUGUGCCCAGAUCACAUUGAUGCAUGAAGAACAUGGAGUGUUUCACCCUCGUCAGAUUUUUCAAUGUACUUGCUAAACCGAAAUGAGUGCUGCAAGAAAACUUUGUUCUGUGUGUUUUUAUUGUACUGAAACCACUCCAACACUUUGCUACAAUGCAAUUGCCUCAAGUCUAAGCUUUUCUAGUGCAGUGUGCUGUUGAAGUUACCUCUUCUCGUGAAGUAUUCCAGCGAUGUAGAACAAGUAAGUGAACAUAGACAUUCAGUUACAGCAACAUCUACCUACGUGAACUGCCAGACACAAAGUUUGCCUUAACUAAAGGAAUUCUACAUGGGAACUGGCAUGGAUUACAGUUCCACAUCAGGCAACAAAGUAUCAGUGUUGAAGGAAAGCCAGUGAUAAGAACGUCUGAAAAGAAGUGCGGAAUCGACGAAAGGGCAUCCAGAUUUUGCUUUUACGUGUUCAAGGAUCAACGGAGAAGAAAGUUGAGAUUGAUAUUUCUUAAUUUUCAUUCAACAUCUUCUAUGCAGCCAAUCUCUUACAACGUGAAAAACAAGAUUAUUGAACUCUGGAAUCUUUAGGUCACGACCGACAGCGCGAAUGCAGGUUCAUUUCAAAACGCAUCUUUGCCGAAAAAACUGAAAUCCUGGAAGAAAUUGGCUUUGGUAAUGAAACUCUUGCCAAGGAGGAAAAUAAUACGUGACAAUACUCGAGCCCCCAUCAAAUGAACUGUUGCUAUGGUUUUGGCCAAGACGGAAUUUGAAAAGCCCCUUUAACACCACAAGCUGUACUAUCUGAGGCAGGUGACUACCACGAUAUAGUUGGCAAACGAGUAUAAGGCAAAGCAUUUCAAUUAAGAACAUAUCCUGCGCAACGAUUAAAAUCUUUGUGA